Molecule: transfer RNA, 75 nt
Filed under: Dehalobacter restrictus
Lineage: Bacteria; Bacillati; Bacillota; Clostridia; Eubacteriales; Desulfitobacteriaceae
Also listed under: 12 other names
Description: tRNA-Thr
Rfam family: tRNA
About the family: Transfer RNA (tRNA) molecules are approximately 80 nucleotides in length. Their secondary structure includes four short double-helical elements and three loops (D, anti-codon, and T loops). Further hydrogen bonds mediate the characteristic L-shaped molecular structure. tRNAs have two regions of fundamental functional importance: the anti-codon, which is responsible for specific mRNA codon recognition, and the 3' end, to which the tRNAs corresponding amino acid is attached (by aminoacyl-tRNA synthetases). tRNAs cope with the degeneracy of the genetic code in two manners: having more than one tRNA (with a specific anti-codon) for a particular amino acid; and 'wobble' base-pairing, i.e. permitting non-standard base-pairing at the 3rd anti-codon position.
Source: RNAcentral
GCCGAUGUGGCUCAGGGGUAGAGCAGCUCACUCGUAAUGAGCAGGUCGUCGGUUCGAUUCCGACCAUCGGCUCCA